UACAGAGGGUGCGAGCGUUAAUCGGAAUUACUGGGCGUAAAGGGCGCGUAGGUGGUUUAUUAAGAUUGAUGUGAAAUCCCUGGGCUUAACCUAGGAACUGCAUCGAUGACUGGUAAGCUAGAGUACUGUAGAGGGUAGUGGAAUUUCCGGUGUAGCGGUGAAAUGCGUAGAGAUCGGAAGGAACACCAGUGGCGAAGGCGGCUACCUGGACAGAUACUGACACUGAGGCGCGAGAGCGUGGGGAGCAAACAGG
This 253-nucleotide ribosomal RNA is filed under the name uncultured Gammaproteobacteria bacterium. RNAcentral describes it as "partial 16S ribosomal RNA". It matches the Rfam family "Bacterial small subunit ribosomal RNA", at positions 524 to 776 of the family's 1533-position model. Lineage: Bacteria; Pseudomonadati; Pseudomonadota; Gammaproteobacteria. The record is from RNAcentral.